UUGGAGCUAAAACACCAACAAAACUGCGUACAAGACCUCAACAGAAACUCGACCAAACCUCCUCGAACUUGGCUACAACGGACACCUCGACUCGAUUCUUGGACUUUGGACUGGAAUGCUCGAAGGUUAUGGAGUAUUUUCAGGCGAUGUUCUUUCUCUAUUUCCAUCCAUUUCCAUCAUAGCAGUCAAAGGGAAAGAGGAGAAGAGGAGAAAGAAGAGCAGUGACCGUAUUAGAUUUCUCCGGCGAGUCCGGUGACGAGAAAGAGCGGCGGAGGCAUGGAUCUUCAAGAGGUGUCACGGCCGCGUUUGAUUUUUUUGUCUUUUGCCUCUGUGUGUGUGUUCCGGUAAGUGAGUGGUGAAGGGGUCGAGGAGAAGAUGAAGUCAGGAGGGUCGUCUGAAAGAGACCAUAUCCAGAGAGGGGAGGGGAGUCCGAAAAAUGGUCACAAACGGCGCCUCAUUUCCUAGAUCCCUAGGGUCUUCCGUCUAAUUAGAGCCUUUUGGCUUUUUGUGUAUCUUUGAUCUUUUUCAAAGAAAAACCGUGGGUCCUCCUGGUUUUUUCGGUGUUAGAUACUAUAUAUAGGGGUAGGGAUUAGGUUAGGGGUAUGUGCCUAGGAAUUAUGGGCUUGAGAAUUAUGGGCUAGGUCCAAAAUUAGACCUAAAAAUGGGUUGCUCAAGCCCAAGUUUUAUACUUUCUCCGCGAACGGGACUAAAAUACGACCUUAUUUAUUAAUUAGUCAUACUUAAAUAAAAUAACUAUUAAAAUAAGACUGACCAUUAAAACAAACUAUUUUUUCAAGGUUAAAAAUGACUAACAAAACAUUAAUGGUACAAUUUUUUGUAAUUUUUAUUUUCUUAUAUAAAAUAAAGUAAAAGAGUAAAUAUUAGUUGAAAUAGCUAUAUUAGGCCUAAAUUAAAUAUUUACGUGCUAAAAUAUAAAAAAUCUUGGGGAGCUGUCACACCUCCUUUUUACUACACCCCUGGAAGGGAGUAUAAAUGGGAGUUUUUUCCAAUUUAAAGUGACAAUCGAAACAGUAUUAUUUUAUUAAAAAUUCAGAGUCGCCACUUGGGAUAAUUUAUGGUGUCCCAAGUCACCGGUUCAAAUCCCGAAUCGAGAAAAAGAUUGAUUAUGUAUUACAGUCCGCGAACACAGAAAUCCGGGUAAGGAAUUCUGUUAACCCGGGGGAAGGUGUUAGGCAUCCCCGAAUUUCGUGGUUCUAUCAGGGUCGCUUAAACUAUUGUAAUUAGCCUAUUAUCUAAUUUAAUACAUGUUUUAGCCUAUGGUACAUUUUAGCUUAUUAACCGCUUUUAAUCAUUUUUAAGAAGAUUCAAUGUUAUCUAAAACACGCCUUGAACCACGUCACAUAAAAUGCACCCGCAGUCCACGACACAUUCUAUUUAACCUUGUUGGAAAUUAGAAUCGGGUCACAUGAAAUGCACACCCGGAUCCCUUAAAAAAAUAGUAAUGUGUUAUUUUUGACCGAACAGGUUAUCUAAAACGGAGUAAAUAUAUUCAAAUUUAGCAUGUAAACUAUCAAAGGCAAUAAACUCAUCCACUUACCCGUUCAAUUCAAUCCAACUACACCCCUGGAUCUUUUGCUAUUAUAUUUAUCUACUUCAACAAAAUCCAUUCUUAGAUUAUAUAAACAAACAUGGCAUCCUAACUUAAGAAACCAACAAUACAAGUACCCAUUAAAUAUAAAGAUAAAUAAGAUUCAGAUCACUUAAAGAGCAAAAAUAAGAAUUCAUUACAUGUGUGAAUAAACAUUCUUAAACUACCAAGAAGACACUCAAUCUUCAAAGAAGCAGAAUAACGAACCAAGUCUUUAGCAGACUUCAGGAACGAUAGAAACGAUUUGCACAUUCACACAAGAUCUACUUUAGAGACUAGCCAUACAAAUCUGAUCAAUCCCUCUUAACAACCCAACAUCAAUGAUCCAAUAACACCAAAAAUUGAUAAACAAAAUAAAAUCACACAUGAAAGCAUGCUAACAGAGAAGCGGGGAUCCGUCAACAACAUUCAUCAAGCUAUUGUCAUAAGAUGAGAUAAGAACAAAAAGAACCUUUUAUAGAUGCAUCUGAGCUUCGAUUUCUUGACAACUUUUGGAGAAAAAACACCAACAAAACUACGUACAAGACCUCAACAGAAACUUGUCCAAACCUCCUCGAACUCGGCUACAAUGAACACCUCAACUCGAUUCUUGGACUUUGGAUUGGAAUGCUCGAUGGUUAUGGAGUAUUUUCAGGCGAUGUUCUCUCUCUAUUGCCAUCCGUCUCCAUCAUAGCAGUCAAAGGGAAAGAGGAGACGAUGAGAAAGAAGAGCAGUGGCCGUAUUAGAUUUCUCCGGCGAGUCCGGUGACGAGAAAGAGCGGCGGCGGCAUGGAUCUUCAAGAGGUGUCAUGGCCGCGUUUGAUUUUUCUUUUCUUGUGCCUGUGUGUGUAUGUGUUCCGGCGAGUGGGUGGUGAAGGGGUCGAGGAGAAGAUGAAGUCAGGAGGGUUUUCUGAAAGAGAACAUAUCCAGAUUGGGGAGGGGAGUCCGAAAAAUGGUCACAAAUGGCGCCUCAUUUCCUAGAUCCCUAAGGUCUUCCGUCUGAUUAGAACCUUUUUGCUUUUUGUGUAUCUUUGUUCGUUUUCAGAGAAAAAACGCGGGUCCU
RNAcentral lists this long non-coding RNA (2650 nucleotides) under Nicotiana tabacum (common tobacco). RNAcentral's name for it is "long non-coding RNA (NTAB_LNC010544)". The record is from RNAcentral. Lineage: Eukaryota; Viridiplantae; Streptophyta; Magnoliopsida; Solanales; Solanaceae.